UAAGGAAUAUUGGUCAAUGGACGAAAGUCUGAACCAGCCAUGCCGCGUGGAGGAUGAAGGUCCUCUGGAUUGUAAACUUCUUUUAUCUGGGACGAAAAAAGGUCUUUCUAGAUCGUCUGACGGUACCAGAUGAAUAAGCACCGGCUAACUCCGUGCCAGCAGCCGCGGUAAUACGGAGGGUGCAAGCGUUAUCCGGAUUCACUGGGUUUAAAGGGUGCGUAGGUGGGUUGGUAAGUCAGUGGUGAAAUCUUCGAGCUUAACUCGGAAACUGCCAUUGAUACUAUCAGUCUUGAAUAUUGUGGAGGUUAGCGGAAUAUGUCAUGUAGCGGUGAAAUGCUUAGAUAUGACAUAGAACACCAAUUGCGAAGGCAGCUGGCUACACAUAUAUUGACACUGAGGCACGAAAGCGUGGGGAUCAAACAGGAUUAGAUACCCUGGGUAGUCCGCGCCCUAAACUAUGGACACUCGACAUACGCGAUACACUGUGUGUGUCUGAGCGAAAGCAUUAAGUAUCCCCACCCUGGGAAGUACGAUCGCAAGAUUGAAACUUAAAUG
Molecule: ribosomal RNA, 555 nt
Filed under: uncultured bacterium
Lineage: Bacteria
Description: partial 16S ribosomal RNA
Rfam family: Bacterial small subunit ribosomal RNA
Source: RNAcentral